UACGUAGGGAGCGAGCGUUAUCCGGAUUUAUUGGGUGUAAAGGGUACGUAGGCGGUAAUACAGGUCUGUGGUUUAAGCCCGAAGCUUAACUUCGGUUCGCCACAGAAACCGUUUUACUUGAGUAUGGUAGAGGCAAGUGGAAUUUCUAGUGUAGCGGUUAAAUGCGUAGAUAUUAGAAGGAACACCAGUGGCGAAGGCGACUUGCUGGGCCAUUACUGACGCUGAGGUACGAAAGCGUGGGGAGCAAAUA
RNAcentral lists this ribosomal RNA (250 nucleotides) under uncultured prokaryote. RNAcentral's name for it is "partial 16S ribosomal RNA". It matches the Rfam family "Bacterial small subunit ribosomal RNA", at positions 524 to 774 of the family's 1533-position model. The record is from RNAcentral.